UCAUGUGAGGACACUCUGGCCGUAACAGCUUGUCGCCCUGUGGGUCACUAGGGUUGGUAUGGCUGAUUUGACUGGCUAAGCGGGUGCCCCCUCCUCCCUUACCACUGCCUGUGAGCUCUUCCCUAAACUGUACACUCAGGUGACUUUCCCUGACAGAGGAACACUAUUUUCAGCUGAGGC
Molecule: small nuclear RNA, 180 nt
Filed under: Mesocricetus auratus (golden hamster)
Lineage: Eukaryota; Metazoa; Chordata; Mammalia; Rodentia; Cricetidae
Description: 7SK RNA
Rfam family: 7SK RNA
About the family: 7SK was discovered as an abundant small nuclear RNA in the mid-70s but a possible function has only recently been suggested.
Source: Rfam by way of RNAcentral